GUACUCGCUUUGGCAGUGCAUAUAUGAACAUUGGAAUGAAGUAGAGAAGAUUAGCAUGGUCUGUGUGCAAGGAUGGAAAGACAAAAAAAGGUGUGUAAGUUUAU
This 104-nucleotide small nuclear RNA is filed under the name Podarcis lilfordi (Lilford's wall lizard). Lineage: Eukaryota; Metazoa; Chordata; Lepidosauria; Squamata; Lacertidae. The record is from RNAcentral.